This 70-nucleotide transfer RNA is filed under the name Armadillidium nasatum. Its description in RNAcentral is "tRNA-Trp". The record is from RNAcentral. Lineage: Eukaryota; Metazoa; Arthropoda; Malacostraca; Isopoda; Armadillidiidae.
AUUUAAUUAAUAACCUUAUCAAAUGUUUUCAAAACAUUUACUUGUUUAGCUAUUCUAUAAAGAAAAUUUC